Molecule: non-coding RNA, 1437 nt
Organism: Coturnix japonica (Japanese quail)
Lineage: Eukaryota; Metazoa; Chordata; Aves; Galliformes; Phasianidae
Source: RefSeq, a predicted model, not a curated record
AUGAAUAUUUAUUUUAUGUCAUUGAGUUUUUCAGAAGCUUCUUGCUUAUUCAUGCAGGCCUCCCGCCACGUCUCCUUGACUUCCUACCCGUGGGGAUGGACCAGUCUUGAGUUUGUAGGAGGCAGUCCUUGAAAAUCAGCCAGAUCUCCUGGGCUCCUCCUCUCUCCAAGAUGAUAUCCCGUGGGAUUGCUUCUGCCCUUCUGUAUUGUCCCUCCUGCAGACAUCAGCAUUGUUAGAGUCUCCCAUGAGGACCUGGGCUGGUGAACAAGAUAUUUCUUCAAGUCAUCCAAAAGAGGCCCGAUGAUCUUCUGCUUCUUUUUUAUCACACAGUCUGAAGCAGACACCAACACCAAUAUCACUCGUGUUGGUCCACCAGCCAGCCCAGACCCAUAUGCUCACCUGCGUCAUGGCAGAGCUCCAUGUAUCCCUGCUUCUCACUCUAAUACAGGACAACUGCCCCUCAUCAUCAUCCCAGCCUGCCCUUCCCAAAGAGCCUGUACAAAGCCACUGCAGCACUCUAGUUGUGUGAGUGUGGUUUGCCUAUUACUUUGAGAUCUCUAAAAAUCCAGGCUCCAUCAACCUGAAGAAUUCAAAGGAACUCUGAUGUAGGAAUGAUGGCAGUAAAAUCACCUGCAUGAAUCAGCUGCAUGGAAACACCCAGGUGUGUACAAGGAGAUCAAACCAAGUUCUAUGCACUCUAAUACAUAAGCGGGUUCUGCUCCCAAUCCUGAACCACUGAUUGGCCACCAUACACUUUCACCUAAGCUCUUGGAGAAGAUCCCUGUUCAGCCAAGCUGGCCUUCAGCCCCACCUGUAUGACUUUGUACAUUAAGGAAUUGCUUGGUAAGAGGUGGUACUUAAAAAGUGGCCAGCACUGGUGGACCCCAAUGGCUUCAGAAGCAGUUUUCAUAGGGAACUUACCAAAUAGUUCCCUGAGCAGCAUGAAGUCUGCUUUCCCCGUAUCCAGUGUUAAUGUGGCAGUUUUUCUCCUAUCACCAAAGAUUGCAUGUUUACCAAUCUCAUGGUCACAAUGGCCAAGACAGCCUCCAGUUACCAUUUUACCCAUGAGACCUUCUCCACUUACAAGCAACAAAUCUAGGAGGACACCUUUCCUAGUUGACUCCCUUGGUAUCUGUAACAAGAAGUGCUACCAAAGACAUAAGAUGAUUUGUCUCUGUGGAAGAUCUCAGUCUUAUCCAUGAAAUCUCCCUCUUUGUUAUAGUGGUCUGAAGCACACAUUGGUAUUGAACAUUUCAGGAUCUCCUCCAACGUUUGUGAAACAGUUACAUUUACUAUGUGCAGAAUAUAAAUGACACCAGUUUUGAAAGGUCAAGGUAUGAAAUAUGUUAUUGCAAUACAUUUACUGUACCCACUAACUCUCACCAUCUGUACAUCACAGACAUCACUGACAUAGCACAUUUUCUCUGGGAAAAAAAA